This 404-nucleotide ribosomal RNA is filed under the name Actinomycetes bacterium. Its description in RNAcentral is "Actinobacteria bacterium partial 16S ribosomal RNA". It matches the Rfam family "Bacterial small subunit ribosomal RNA", at positions 355 to 776 of the family's 1533-position model. Lineage: Bacteria; Bacillati; Actinomycetota; Actinomycetes. The record is from RNAcentral.
UGGGGAAUAUUGGACAAUGGGCGCAAGCCUGAUCCAGCCAUGCCGCGUGAGUGAUGAAGGCCCUAGGGUUGUAAAGCUCUUUCACCGGUGAAGAUAAUGACGGUAACCGGAGAAGAAGCCCCGGCUAACUUCGUGCCAGCAGCCGCGGUAAUACGAAGGGGGCUAGCGUUGUUCGGAUUUACUGGGCGUAAAGCGCACGUAGGCGGACUAUUAAGUCAGGGGUGAAAUCCCGGGGCUCAACCCCGGAACUGCCUUUGAUACUGGUAGUCUUGAGUUCGAGAGAGGUGAGUGGAAUUCCGAGUGUAGAGGUGAAAUUCGUAGAUAUUCGGAGGAACACCAGUGGCGUAGGCGGCUCACUGGCUCGAUACUGACGCUGAGGUGCGAAAGCGUGGGGAGCAAACAGG